Long non-coding RNA from Pogoniulus pusillus (Red-fronted tinkerbird), 1591 nucleotides. RefSeq lists it as uncharacterized. The transcript has 3 exons. Lineage: Eukaryota; Metazoa; Chordata; Aves; Piciformes; Lybiidae. The record is from RefSeq and is a predicted model, not a curated record.
AAUAUUAAAUGCUUUCAAAGCCUGGCCUAUGUGGUCUGCUGACUAUUAACUGUGUCCAGUGAGUUAUUCUGUGGGUUUUGAAUUAACAGCACCUUAGCUAGUGUGAGGUAAAUUAAGUUUAAUUUUGUUUAUAAAAAACGGUGCAGUUGCAUUUAUCAACAUGACAUUUAGUUGUAGCAGAGUUCAGUUUUCCCCAUUAUCCUGUACUGACCUCAUCAUUUAGUUAGUACUGCUAACAGUGGGCCUCAUCCUGUGCUUCAGAGUCCUAUGAACCUAGCUGGAGACUUGCCUAUUUCACAAGAGCUGCUGAGUUCUGAAUAUUGCCACGUCUGGCCUGGCUGAGGAUUCGUGUGCUUGCAGAGCAGCACAAAAUAGGCCUGCUGUUAAUGGUGAAUGCACAAACUGUUCUUUGAUACCAGCAACUGGGCAGGCAGGUUGUAACAUCCCAUCCUUGAUCCUUAAUUCUCUCUUCUUCUUCUCCCCGUUUACAGCUGGUAUCAUAAAAUAUCUGAGGAGCAUCAGGGGAACAUGUAUGUUGGAAGGCUUCGGCAAGUUCCAGUCUGCUUGGAGAAAGAGGAAGAAAUGACUGUCGCUUCUUCCCCCCUGAAACGUGGCAGAGAGAGAGUCAGAGCAAAUGAGAAUGGCUGGCAGCAAGAAUUACAGUCAAAGAAACCUGAGGGCAAACUGAAGGGACAGUCCAGACACACUUUCAAUCCUCAGAGAGUGUGGAAUAAAAAGAAAGAACAAAAUCGGUGUAUAUGGGUCAGAGAGAAAGUGAGUAACGAGGGGAAGGUGUACAUACGGUUCAUUCUAAGUUCCUUGGUGGAUUUCGCUGCACUGUUGCCCCACCCAUCUUUUGGCACUGCUGGGCAGGAGGAAGCAGAAAGAACAGCUGUGAAGUUUGAGACAGGCUGAAUGUGCCAUAGCCAGUGAUGAAAACGACGAGUUGGAGACUGUUUAAAGAUAGAAUCACACCUGAGGGGCACUUCUUUGCUGUCCGUUUGUCAAGAAGGAUUCCUAGAAUGGGCAGCCUGGUGCAAACCAGAAAAUGAAGUAGCCGCGGAGUUCAGAUCUCUCCUAUUGCAGUCAGUGUGGUGAAGGAUCACAGCCUGUACAGUGGAGACGGUGGUACGAGAGUGCCCCCUUCUGUGUAGUGACACUUUGAGACUUGAAGAAGUCUGCGCAGAAGAAAGGCUUCACAGCAUCCAGAGCUGCACUUACAGUGGGAAAAGUGUCAUGGAAAAGGGGAGGCUGCAGGAGCCAGGAGUGUGAAUCAAAGCGCGGACACUGGAAGAACAGCACAAGGAGAAUCGAGAGAUGCUUGCAACCUCAGGACAAAAAGUUGAGCAGGUAGACUCUCUUUCUGCCGUUACUUUGGUGUCGUGGAGGGGGAUUCCCAGUACCUAUGCCUAUUUGGCGGAGGGGAGAAAUUCAUUAAUGUGAGAGGAUAUUUAUAAACAUUUAUUUAUUAAACUCCAAUAUUUUCAACUCUCACCACCCCCAACCACUGAACUUUAAUAUUAAAUUGUUCUUUACACGAUUAUGAAGACAUUAUGGGAAUAUAUAUCUACAGAAACUUAUUAAUAACCAG